This 694-nucleotide ribosomal RNA is filed under the name uncultured bacterium. RNAcentral describes it as "bacterial SSU rRNA". It matches the Rfam family "Bacterial small subunit ribosomal RNA", at positions 71 to 734 of the family's 1533-position model. The record is from RNAcentral.
UUCUUUAUCACCGAGUGCUUGCACUCACCGAUAAAGAGUUGAGUGGCGAACGGGUGAGUAACACGUGGGCAACCUGCCCAAAAGAGGGGGAUAACACUUGGAAACAGGUGCUAAUACCGCAUAACCAUAGUUACCGCAUGGUAACUAUGUAAAAGGUGGCUAUGCUACCGCUUUUGGAUGGGCCCGCGGCGCAUUAGCUAGUUGGUGGGGUAAAGGCUUACCAAGGCAAUGAUGCGUAGCCGAACUGAGAGGUUGAUCGGCCACAUUGGGACUGAGACACGGCCCAAACUCCUACGGGAGGCAGCAGUAGGGAAUCUUCCACAAUGGGCGAAAGCCUGAUGGAGCAACGCCGCGUGGGUGAAGAAGGUCUUCGGAUCGUAAAACCCUGUUGUUAGAGAAGAAAGUGCGUGAGAGUAACUGUUCACGUUUCGACGGUAUCUAACCAGAAAGCCACGGCUAACUACGUGCCAGCAGCCGCGGUAAUACGUAGGUGGCAAGCGUUAUCCGGAUUUAUUGGGCGUAAAGGGAACGCAGGCGGUCUUUUAAGUCUGAUGUGAAAGCCUUCGGCUUAACCGGAGUAGUGCAUUGGAAACUGGGAGACUUGAGUGCAGAAGAGGAGAGUGGAACUCCAUGUGUAGCGGUGAAAUGCGUAGAUAUAUGGAAGAACACCAGUGGCGAAAGCGGCUCUCUGGUC